GAUGAACGCUAGCUACAGGCUUAACACAUGCAAGUCGAGGGGAAACGAUAUUGGAAGCUUGCUUCCGAUAGGCGUCGACCGGCGCACGGGUGAGUAACGCGUAUCCAACCUGCCCAUCACUUGGGGAUAACCUUGCGAAAGUAAGACUAAUACCCAAUGACGUCUCUAGAAGACAUCUGAAAGAGAUUAAAGAUUUAUCGGUGAUGGAUGGGGAUGCGUCUGAUUAGCUUGUGGGCGGGGUAACGGCCCACCAAGGCGUCGAUCAGUAGGGGUUCUGAGAGGAAGGUUCCCCACAUUGGAACUGAGACACGGUCCAAACUCCUACGGGAGGCAGCAGUGAGGAAUAUUGGUCAAUGGACGAGAGUCUGAACCAGCCAAGUAGCGUGCAGGAUGACGGCCCUAUGGGUUGUAAACUGCUUUUAUAAGGGAAUAAAGUGAGAGUCGUGACUCUUUUUGCAUGUACCUUAUGAAUAAGGACCGGCUAAUUCCGCGCCAGCAGCCGCAGUAA
RNAcentral lists this ribosomal RNA (508 nucleotides) under uncultured bacterium. RNAcentral describes it as "partial 16S ribosomal RNA". It matches the Rfam family "Bacterial small subunit ribosomal RNA", at positions 28 to 523 of the family's 1533-position model. The record is from RNAcentral.